GUGAGGAAUAUUGGUCAAUGGGCGAGAGCCUGAACCAGCCAAGUCGCGUGAAGGAAGAAGGAUCUAUGGUUCGUAAACUUCUUUUGCAGGGGAAUAAAGUGCGGGACGUGUCCUGUUUUGUAUGUACCCUGAGAAUAAGGAUCGGCUAACUCCGUGCCAGCAGCCGCGGUAAUACGGAGGAUCCGAGCGUUAUCUGGAUUUAUUGGGUUUAAAGGGUGCGCAGGUGGUUUGAUAAGUCAGCGGUGAAAGUUUGCAGCUUAACUGUAAAAAUGCCGUUGAAACUGUCGGACUUGAGUGUAAAUGAGGUAGGCGGAAUGCGUGGUGUAGCGGUGAAAUGCAUAGAUAUCACGCAGAACUCCGAUUGCGAAGGCAGCUUACUAAGCUACAACUGACACUGAAGCACGAAAGCGUGGGGAUCAAACAGGAUUAGAUACCCGGGUAGUCC
This 445-nucleotide ribosomal RNA is filed under the name uncultured bacterium. RNAcentral describes it as "partial 16S ribosomal RNA". It matches the Rfam family "Bacterial small subunit ribosomal RNA", at positions 354 to 796 of the family's 1533-position model. The record is from RNAcentral.